RNAcentral lists this ribosomal RNA (301 nucleotides) under uncultured bacterium. RNAcentral describes it as "partial 16S ribosomal RNA". It matches the Rfam family "Bacterial small subunit ribosomal RNA", at positions 509 to 807 of the family's 1533-position model. The record is from RNAcentral.
CAGCAGCCGCGGGAAAACGUAGGUGGCAAGCGUUAAUCGGAAUUACUGGGCGUAAAGCGUGCGCAGGCGGUUUGUUAAGACAGAUGUGAAAUCCCCGGGCUCAACCUGGGAACUGCAUUUGUGACUGGCAAGCUAGAGUGUGGCAGAGGGGGGUGGAAUUCCGCGUGUAGCAGUGAAAUGCGUAGAUAUGCGGAGGAACACCGAUGGCGAAGGCAGCCCCCUGGGCCAACACUGACGCUCAUGCACGAAAGCGUGGGGAGCAAACAGGAUUAGAUACCCCCGUAGUCCCUGUCUCUUAUAC